This 996-nucleotide ribosomal RNA is filed under the name Shigella flexneri. Its description in RNAcentral is "partial 23S ribosomal RNA". It matches the Rfam family "Bacterial large subunit ribosomal RNA", at positions 1 to 1028 of the family's 2925-position model. Lineage: Bacteria; Pseudomonadati; Pseudomonadota; Gammaproteobacteria; Enterobacterales; Enterobacteriaceae. The record is from RNAcentral.
GGGUUGUGAGGUUAAGCGACUAAGCGUACACGGUGGAUGCCCUGGCAGUCAGAGGCGAUGAAGGACGUGCUAAUCUGCGAUAAGCGUCGGUAAGGUGAUAUGAACCAUUAUAACCGGCGAUUUCCGAAUGGGGAAACCCAGUGUGAUUCGUCACACUAUCAUUAACUGAAUCCAUAGGUUAAUGAGGCGAACCGGGGGAACUGAAACAUCUAAGUACCCCGAGGAAAAGAAAUCAACCGAGAUUCCCCCAGUAGCGGCGAGCGAACGGGGAGCAGCCCAGAGCCUGAAUCAGUGUGUGUGUUAGUGGAAGCGUCUGGAAAGGCGUGCGAUACAGGGUGACAGCCCCGUACACAAAAAUGCACAUAUUGUGAGCUCGAUGAGUAGGGCGGGACACGUGGUAUCCUGUCUGAAUAUGGGGGGACCAUCCUCCAAGGCUAAAUACUCCUGACUGACCGAUAGUGAACCAGUACCGUGAGGGAAAGGCGAAAAGAACCCCGGCGAGGGGAGUGAAAAAGAACCUGAAACCGUGUACGUACAAGCAGUGGGAGCACGCUUAGGCGUGUGACUGCGUACCUUUUGUAUAAUGGGUCAGCGACUUAUAUUCUGUAGCAAGGUUAACCGAAUAGGGGAGCCGAAGGGAAACCGAGUCUUAACUGGGCGUUAAGUUGCAGGGUAUAGACCCGAAACCCGGUGAUCUAGCCAUGGGCAGGUUGAAGGUUGGGUAACACUAACUGGAGGACCGAACCGACUAAUGUUGAAAAAUUAGCGGAUGACUUGUGGCUGGGGGUGAAAGGCCAAUCAAACCGGGAGAUAGCUGGUUCUCCCCGAAAGCUAUUUAGGUAGCGCCUCGUGAAUUCAUCUCCGGGGGUAGAGCACUGUUUCGGCAAGGGGGUCAUCCCGACUUACCAACCCGAUGCAAACUGCGAAUACCGGAGAAUGUUAUCACGGGAGACACACGGCGGGUGCUAACGUCCGUCGUGAAGAGGGAAACAACCC